AUUGAACGCUGGCGGCAGGCCUAACACAUGCAAGUCGAACGGUAACAGGAAACAGCUUGCUGUUUCGCUGACGAGUGGCGGACGGGUGAGUAAUGUCUGGGAAACUGCCUGAUGGAGGGGGAUAACUACUGGAAACGGUAGCUAAUACCGCAUAACGUCGCAAGACCAAAGAGGGGGACCCUCGGGCCUCUUGCCAUCGGAUGUGCCCAGAUGGGAUUAGCUUGUUGGUGGGGUAACGGCUCACCAAGGCGACGAUCCCUAGCUGGUCUGAGAGGAUGACCAGCCACACUGGAACUGAGACACGGUCCAGACUCCUACGGGAGGCAGCAGUGGGGAAUAUUGCACAAUGGGCGCAAGCCUGAUGCAGCCAUGCCGCGUGUACGAAGAAGGCCUUCGGGUUGUAAAGUACUUUCAGCGGGGAGGAAGGGAGUAAAGUUAAUACCUUUGCUCAUUGACGUUACCCGCAGAAGAAGCACCGGCUAACUCCGUG
RNAcentral lists this ribosomal RNA (490 nucleotides) under uncultured bacterium. RNAcentral describes it as "partial 16S ribosomal RNA". It matches the Rfam family "Bacterial small subunit ribosomal RNA", at positions 30 to 507 of the family's 1533-position model. The record is from RNAcentral.